RNAcentral lists this ribosomal RNA (253 nucleotides) under uncultured bacterium. RNAcentral's name for it is "partial 16S ribosomal RNA". It matches the Rfam family "Bacterial small subunit ribosomal RNA", at positions 524 to 776 of the family's 1533-position model. The record is from RNAcentral.
UACGUAGGGUGCAAGCGUUGUCCGGAAUUAUUGGGCGUAAAGAGCUCGUAGGCGGCUUGUCGCGUCGAAUGUGAAAUCUCAGGGCUCAACUCUGACAUUGCAUUCGAUACGGGCAGGCUAGAGUUCGGUAGGGGAGACUGGAAUUCCUGGUGUAGCGGUGAAAUGCGCAGAUAUCAGGAAGAACACCGGUGGCGAAGGCGGCUCUCUGGGCCUUACCUGACGCUCAGGUGCGAAAGCGUGGGGAGCGAACCGG